GUAGCCGUUAUCAUCUGGAUCAACGAACGGAGAAGAAAGAAGAUAUUAAACCUGGAUCACGAAAACGAAGAGAGGACUAAGAGAUAACUGUUGAAUUUUUAACAAGCCCUCGAAGCAGCGGGUAAACAAAUUUCCGUCGGUCUUCAAGGAUAUCGAAAAGAAGAAGGAGAAUGAAAUUUUCAAGCUCACCUUCUGGUAAACGGACAAGGGAGAAACGAGUUUUCGAAGGAUCUUUAGGAGUAAUUGGUUAAUGGCGGGAGAGAAGGAACGAGGAAGAAGACGGAUUGACGUAGAAGGAAUAUAAAAUUGGCGACGUUUAGGGGAA
Eufriesea mexicana is the source of this 325-nucleotide long non-coding RNA. RefSeq lists it as uncharacterized. The transcript is spliced from 3 exons. Lineage: Eukaryota; Metazoa; Arthropoda; Insecta; Hymenoptera; Apidae. The record is from RefSeq and is a predicted model, not a curated record.